RNAcentral lists this ribosomal RNA (253 nucleotides) under uncultured bacterium. RNAcentral's name for it is "partial 16S ribosomal RNA". It matches the Rfam family "Bacterial small subunit ribosomal RNA", at positions 524 to 776 of the family's 1533-position model. The record is from RNAcentral.
UACGUAGGGGGCUAGCGUUGUCCGGAAUCAUUGGGCGUAAAGAGCGUGUAGGCGGUCCGGUAAGUCCGCUGUGAAAGUCGGGGGCUCAACCCUUGAAUGCCGGUUGAUACUGUCGGGCUAGAGUCCGGAAGAGGCGAGUGGAAUUCCCGGUGUAGCGGUGAAAUGCGCAGAUAUCGGGAGGAACACCAAUGGCGAAGGCAGCUCGCUGGGACGGUACUGACGCUGAGACGCGAAAGCGUGGGGAGCAAACAGG